GAUGAAGAACGUAGCGAAAUGCGAUAAGUAAUGUGAAUUGCAGAAUUCAGUGAAUCAUCGAGUCUUUGAACGCACAUUGCGCCCCCUGGUAUUCCGGGGGGCAUGCCUGUCCGAGCGUCAUUGCUGCCCUCAAGCACGGCUUGUGUGUUGGGCCCCGCCCCCCGGCUCCCGGGGGGCGGGCCCGAAAGGCAGCGGCGGCACCGCGUCCGGUCCUCGAGCGUAUGGGGCUUCGUCACCCGCUCCGUAGGCCCGGCCGGCGCCCGCCGGCGACCCCCCUCAAUCUUUUCAGGUUGACCUCGGAUCAGGUAGGGAUACCCGCUGAACUUAAGCAUAUCAAAAGCGGAGGA
RNAcentral lists this unclassified non-coding RNA (347 nucleotides) under soil metagenome. Its description in RNAcentral is "partial contains 5.8S ribosomal RNA, internal transcribed spacer 2, and large subunit ribosomal RNA". The stretch from base 1 to 120 matches the Rfam family "5.8S ribosomal RNA", at positions 35 to 154 of the family's 154-position model. The record is from RNAcentral.